GACGAACGCUGGCGGCGUGCUUAACACAUGCAAGUCGAACGGAAAGGCCCUGCUUUUGUUGGGUGCUCGAUUGGCGAACGGGUGAGUAACACGUGAGUAACCUGCCCUUGACUUUGGGAUAACUUCAGGAAACUGGGGCUAAUACCGGAUAUGAGCUCCUGCUGCAUGGUGGGGGUUGGAAAGUUUCGGCGGUUGGGGAUGGACUCGCGGCUUAUCAGCUUGUUGGUGGGGUAGUGGCUUACCAAGGCUUUGACGGGUAGCCGGCCUGAGAGGGUGACCGGCCACAUGGGGACUGAGAUACGGCCCAGACUCCUACGGGAGGCAGCAGUGGGGAAUAUUGCACAAUGGGCGGAAGCCUGAUGCAGCAACGCCGCGUGCGGGAUGACGGCCUUCGGGUUGUAAACCGCUUUCGCCUGUGACGAAGCGUGAGUGACGGUAAUGGGUAAAGAAGCACCGGCUAACUACGUG
Molecule: ribosomal RNA, 468 nt
Filed under: uncultured bacterium
Lineage: Bacteria
Description: partial 16S ribosomal RNA
Rfam family: Bacterial small subunit ribosomal RNA
Source: RNAcentral